Molecule: long non-coding RNA, 1119 nt
Organism: Ananas comosus (pineapple)
Lineage: Eukaryota; Viridiplantae; Streptophyta; Magnoliopsida; Poales; Bromeliaceae
Exons: 3
Source: RefSeq, a predicted model, not a curated record
UUUACUCUCUUAUCCGAUCUUUACAGUUUAUCUUUGGGCAAUUUAGUAGAUCUAAUCACUUCUUUUUCCUUCAAUUUUUCUUGAGGUUGUAGUGUUACUGAUCAUUUUUUAGCUUGCAUUCAUUGUUUCGUUAGAUCUUUUUGGGAAUGCGCGGAUCUACAGUAGAUGGAGUUGUAUUAACCCUACUUCAGAGUGUAGUGCUGUUCGAUUAAGUGCCAUUUAAGUAGCACUGUGUAGCUCUUCUCUGCAGUAGAAGUAGAAGCUCCCAUUUAUAGUUUUUUUUUUUUUUCCGAGCUCAGAAUCUCAUCGCAGCUUCUUGCUUCCACGGAUCUGCUGUAGAUGAAGUUAUAUUAGCCCUGCUGUAGAGUGUAGUGCUAUUCGAAGAAGUGCUUUUGGGAGAAGCAGUGUGUAGCUUCUCUCAGCAGCAGAAGUAGAAGCUCCAAUUUGGAGUUGUUUUCCGAGCUCAGAAUCUCAUUGCAGCUUCUUGCUUCCUGCACAACAGAAGCUUUAGGCCUUGUUUGGUGCCAUUGUUUGAUUUUUUUUUUUUUCUAACAUAUUUUAUAGUCACAUAGAAUUUGUGUUUACACCAAAAAAAGAAAAAGAAAAAGAAAAAAGAAAAGAAAGACGAGCAACACCAAACAAGGCUUAGAUUUUAUUUUAUUUUAGUUUAUAUGUUUAGAGCCACAUGCUCUACCAGAGUGGCUACAGAUAUGGAAACAGAGGUAGAAACAGCGCCGAACAUGCAAAUUCGGAGCCUCUUUCAUUUUUGUAACAGUUAGAGUUCUAUUAAUAGGCGGCAUCUGAAUUUCAAAGAAAUGGAGUCAUCCAUUACGGGCUCGUGUAGAAGAUCAAAUGAAGUAUUUAUAGUAUGAUGUCUAUUCUUGCCGUUUUGCUGGAAAACAUGGGCUGUUCCUGCAGCAGACCACACUCUUUCAACGAGGCUGAUACCGAAGAGAAUGUGCAGGCUGCAGAAAUUGAGCGCCGAAUUGCUCAGGAAACAAAGGCGGAGCAACACAUCCAUAAGCUUUUACUUCUUGAUAUAAAUUUUUUGAUACUCUAUUAUAAUGGAUAAGAGUUGGAUCAAAAGGAAUAGAUGGACAUAUGAAUACUACGAAGGAG